This 933-nucleotide long non-coding RNA is filed under the name Heterocephalus glaber (naked mole-rat). RNAcentral's name for it is "lncRNA (ENSHGLG00000026654.2)". The record is from RNAcentral. Lineage: Eukaryota; Metazoa; Chordata; Mammalia; Rodentia; Bathyergidae.
CGCUGUGGGCUCGGAAGGCUCGCGGGCCUGGGCGGGUCACGGCGGCUCCGGGGGUGGGGGGGUGUCAGUGAGUGAAGGGCGGAGCCCACGGUCUCCCUGCCCGGGCGCCUCCUUACUGGACCAGGAGAGCCGAGUGUCCGCGGCAGGGACGCUCGCUCGGCAGCCCUCGGCGCGGCUCCAGGGGCGGCAGAGGUCGCGGAAGGCGGAAAGGUGCGGAACCGAGUGGAGGGGCGUCACGGAGAGGCCUGUCUGCGUGGUACCGGGGGACCCUGAGCUCCAGCUGCAAACAUCGUGGUUGUUCCAGCAGCAGUUUUCACUCACGCGGCUUUGUCCUUUGUUCUCCAAGCUCACUCUUCGUCCCCCAGGGAGUUGAGGGUAGAGCAGUAGAGCUGCCGACCCGUUGUGAAACUCCACAGCCCCUUCUCAUGUGUCCGGGCUGCAGGUGCUGAGAGCCGAAAGCAGCACAUUCUCAGGUGAGGCAGAGCAAUGCUGGUCUCCACGCCCGAGGGCUGGGCUCUUUGUGGCAGCAACGGGCAGAAUGACCUGUACACAGCCUUCGUGAGUCGUUGGUUUUGUCCCGGCUCUGCUCAGUGCCUCUGCGGUGCUGAGCAGCGGAUGCCCAUGCCUUCUGUCCACCAGGAAAUGCCCUGGGGACCAUGAGCGCAUCGGAGUGACAGCUCCCUUGGCAUUGAUUUUUUCCCACCUCAAUUAAAAUAUGCAGUAAGGCCUUGGGUUCUCUCAGACUCUUCUGUUUCCACAAAUAGUGGCUGCUGAGGUGACUCAGAGAAUACAGGGUCUCAGAUGGGAGUCGUGGGACUUCGGGAACUGAGUAAGAAGAAAAUGAAAGGGGGCGUGUGCCCUGGGAACAGCGCGCCUGAGUGUGGACAGCAGUGAUUCCCUGAGCGGCCUCACUGGCCCUGUGCCUUGACAUUG